Molecule: ribosomal RNA, 253 nt
Filed under: uncultured bacterium
Lineage: Bacteria
Description: partial 16S ribosomal RNA
Rfam family: Bacterial small subunit ribosomal RNA
Source: RNAcentral
UACGAAGGGGGCUAGCGUUGUUCGGAUUUACUGGGCGUAAAGCGCACGUAGGCGGAUUGUUAAGUCAGGGGUGAAAUCCCGGAGCUCAACUCCGGAACUGCCUUUGAUACUGGCAAUCUUGAGGCUGGAAGAGGUUAGUGGAAUUCCCAGUGUAGAGGUGAAAUUCGUAGAUAUUGGGAAGAACACCGGUGGCGAAGGCGGCUAUCUGGACCGACAUUGACGCUGAGGCGCGAAAGCGUGGGGAGCAAACAGG